AACGCACCUUGCGCCCUUUGGUAUUCCGAAGGGCAUGCCUGUUUGAGUGUCUUUAAUAUCUAUCAACCAUUUUGUGUGCUUGCAUGCAGCUUGGCUUGGAUGUGAGGGUUAUUGCUGGCUUUCGUGGUCUGCUCCCUUCAAAUGCAUUAGUGGAAUCUUCCUGCAGCCGGUCUUUCCGUGUGAUAUACCUUUACGCGGUCUGUACUUGUGGGGAGGCCUGCUCAUAACCGUCCGAAAGGACAAUUUUCUUAAGACAUUGACCUCAAAUCAGGUAGGACUACCCGCUGAACUUAA
The sequence is an unclassified non-coding RNA, 294 nucleotides long. The stretch from base 1 to 52 matches the Rfam family "5.8S ribosomal RNA", at positions 103 to 154 of the family's 154-position model.